CGGCGCUCAAGCAUGGCGACGAUGUGCUUGUUUCUUAUGGGGGGCUCUACUACAAUGCCAAGGUCACCAACAUCAAGUUUCGAGCGAAUGCUUGGCGGUAUUUAGUGCAUUACACGGGAUGGAGCAAAAAGUAGUGUAACCCUUUGAUAUUAAUCUAGGCAACAAUUUUCUUGGCCUCGAUUCUUGGUUUUGCAGAUUUGACGAGUGGGUUCGCAGCAAUCGCAUUUUCGACGAGAAGGCCAGGGGCCAGCUUAAGAUCGCCCCAAAGGUAAAGCAGGAGCUUGGUUUCAGCGAUGCAUUGAAC
Selaginella moellendorffii is the source of this 304-nucleotide long non-coding RNA. RefSeq lists it as uncharacterized. Lineage: Eukaryota; Viridiplantae; Streptophyta; Lycopodiopsida; Selaginellales; Selaginellaceae. The record is from RefSeq and is a predicted model, not a curated record. The transcript has 3 exons.